This 2163-nucleotide ribosomal RNA is filed under the name Triticum aestivum (bread wheat). Its description in RNAcentral is "partial small subunit ribosomal RNA". Lineage: Eukaryota; Viridiplantae; Streptophyta; Magnoliopsida; Poales; Poaceae. The record is from RNAcentral.
AUGCUCCAGACCCCGACUUCGUUCCGCGCACACCCGCUCGCCAUGCGCUUCCCGUCGGUUCGCUUCCUGCCGUCAAGUGCGGCGCCGGCGGUGGUGGCCGCGAACGCGCGCAUCGCCUGGAUGGCGCGCGCGGGGAACAUGGAGGGCGCCCGCGCGACGUUCGAGGCCAUGCCCCUCCGCACCACCGCUUCCUACAACGCCCUCAUCGCCGGCUACUUCCGUAACCACCUCCCGGAGGCCGCCCUCGGCCUCUUCCGCCGCAUGCCCUCCCGCGAUCUCGGCUCCUACAAUGCUCUCAUCUCCGGCUUCUCCCUCCGCCGUCACACCCUCCCUGAUGCGGCGGCCGCGCUCGCCUCCAUCCCCUUACCCCCCUCAGUCGUCUCCUUCACCUCCCUCCUGCGCGGGUACGUGCGCCACGGCUUCCUGGCCGACGCCAUCCGCCUGUUCCACCAGAUGCCCGAGCGCAACCACGUCUCCUACACGGUUAUGCUGGGUGGUUUUAUUGAUGCCGGCCGUCUCGACGAGGCCCGCAAGCUGUUCGACGAAAUGCCUGACAAGGACGUCGUUGCACGAACUGCCAUGCUAUCUGGGUACUGCCAGGCUGGCCGAAUUGCCGAGGCACGCCUGCUGUUUGAUGAUAUGCCGAAGAGGAAUGUUGUGUCAUGGACUGCAAUGAUAUCUGGAUACUCUCAAAACGGGAAGCUUAACCUUGCACGGAAGCUUUUUGAGGUGAUGCCUGAUCGCAGUGAGGUGUCAUGGACUGCUAUGUUAGUCGGGUACAUACAGGCUGGACAUAUCGAGGAUGCCGAGCAGCUGUUUAAUGCAAUGCCAGAGCACCCAGUGGCUGCCUGCAAUGCGAUGAUGGUUGGGUUUGGGCAGCGCGGGAUGGUGGAUGCUGCCAAGGCAGUGUUUGAGAGAAUGCAAGAGAAGGAUGAUGGUACGUGGAGUGCAAUGAUUAAAGCGUAUGAGCAGAAUGAGUUCUUGAUUGAGGCAUUGUCUACUUUCCGUGAUAUGUCAUGGAGAGGUAUCCGUCCAAACUACCCAUCAGUCAUUAGCAUCCUUACUGUGUGUUCGGCACUAGCUAUUCUCAAUUAUGGAAGGGAGGUGCAUGCUGCAAUGCUGAGAUGCUCCUUUGACAUGGACAUUUUUACUGUUUCGGCAUUAAUCACAAUGUACAUCAAAUGUGGAAAUUUGGAUAAAGCUAAUAGGGUCUUCAAUAUGUUUGAGCCCAAAGAUGUCGUGAUGUGGAACUCAAUGAUCACUGGUUAUGCUCAACAUGGGUUGGGGGAGGAAGCACUUGGCAUAUUUAAUGACAUGACGAUUGCAGGAAUGGCACCUGAUGGGAUUACUUAUAUUGGAGUCCUCACUGCUUGUAGCUAUACCGGGAAAGUAAAAGUAGGGAGGGAAAUUUUCAAUUCUAUGUGUAAGAAUUCUGCCAUCCGACCAGGAGCGGAGCAUUACUCUUGUAUGGUUGAUUUGCUUGGUCGAGCUGGACAUGUAGAUGAAGCAUUGGAUUUGAUUAAGAACAUGCCAGUUGAAGCCGAUGCUAUCAUCUGGGGAGCACUGAUGGGUGCCUGUAGGAUGCACAAGAAUGCUGAGAUUGCCGAGCUUGCUGCUAAGAAGCUAUUAGAGCUAGAGCCCGAGAGUGCUGGACCAUAUGUUUUGCUCUCUCACAUUUAUACAUCCACUGGGAGGUGGGAAGAUGCUUCUAAGAUGCGGAAAUUCAUUAGCUCAAGGAAUUUAAACAAGUCUACAGGCUGUAGUUGGAUAGAGUACGACAAGAGGGUGCACCUCUUCACAUCUGGUGAUAUAUUAGCACACCCAGAGCAUGCUAUUAUCCUUAAGAUGUUGGAGAAACUAGAUGGUCUACUGAUGGAAUCUGGUUACUCAGCUGACGGAAGCUUUGUGCUCCAUGAUAUAGACGAAGAGCAAAAACUUCAUAGCUUGCGAUAUCAUAGUGAGAGGCAGGCUGUGGCGUAUGGACUUUUGAAAGUUCCAGAAGGAAUGCCCAUUCGUGUCAUGAAGAACCUUAGAGUGUGUGGUGACUGCCAUGCUGCCAUGAAGUUGAUUGCAAAAAUUACUUCCCGGGAAAUCAUACUCAGAGAUGCUAAUAGGUUCCAUCAUUUCAAAGACGGAUUUUGCUCAUGCAGGGACUAUUGGUGA